Molecule: unclassified non-coding RNA, 1028 nt
Filed under: Leishmania donovani
Lineage: Eukaryota; Euglenozoa; Kinetoplastea; Trypanosomatida; Trypanosomatidae
Description: gene:LdHU3.32.1700(CDS-product:RNA_polymerase-lik e_protein_putative)
Source: RNAcentral
GACUGGCGGCGUGGUGUCACGACGCUUCGCCUUUGUUUCGCCUCUGGUGUCGCUACUGUUGUCCUCUUGCGCUGAGAAGAGGAGCUGUUCAGUCGCGCCAGCUAAGCGUACGAUCUUUCCAUAUAGGCUGCGCCGCAGACACCGAGACGCGCACACUGGUGCGCACACGACCAUAAAAACGAGGAUAAGAGAAUGUUCUACAAGGUCGUCCUUCAGCGCACGGUGAACGUAAAGCCGGCGGACCUGUGCAACACGCUGAAUCGCAGUCUUCUGACCUUCCUGCGACAGGCGGUCGAGGGAAAGCCGCUGCCGUCGCCAGACAGCGUCGCUAGUAUCGCACUCGACUACGUCACAGCGAGCAAGUCCUCGGCGGUGGUAAUUGCCGUGCUGGAUAUCCUCAAUGCGGAGACACUGCAAGGCAAGGUGCUCGAUGACGGAAGUGUGUCGUUCCGGCUCACCUAUGAGGCGAUGGUGCUGAAACUGCACCGAGGUGAGGUGCUGGACCUGCUGGUCAGCGAUGUGGACGAGACAGGCUUCUGGGCGAGCGUCUAUGGCGUCAAUAAGCUCUUUGUGAACCGCAAUCAAAUGGGCGAGGACCUGAAGACGGGAAGGUCGGAGUGGUCUUUUGAGGCGGAGACAGCCGCGUGGGUCAGCAACGACGAUCGCCGCUCCAUCAAGAAGGAUACGAUGGUGCGCCUUCGCGUGAUUGCGGAAACGCCGCAAUCCGAACGUGGCAUGGCUGUCGGCACCAUCGGUGCCCCGUUUCUGGGUCCACGCGUUGGCAGCUAUUAGACCGUAUUUCCAGGCGGCCGCCGCCUCCGUCGGGGCACACUCUCCUUGCGAGGGGGUCCCAGACAGCACCAGGUACGCAUGAAACAGCAAUGGAAAGGGAGUCUACCCUCUGUGCCGCCAACCUCCACCUGUUUGUGUUGUCGGUUGCCGUCGCGGGUGCGUGUGUGUUUGCGUGAAAAGGUGAGUCCCAUUGCAGAGAGAGACCCACUUAGCACAAACUCCAGAGCUGCAACACC